RNAcentral lists this ribosomal RNA (402 nucleotides) under Actinomycetes bacterium. RNAcentral's name for it is "Actinobacteria bacterium partial 16S ribosomal RNA". It matches the Rfam family "Bacterial small subunit ribosomal RNA", at positions 355 to 776 of the family's 1533-position model. The record is from RNAcentral. Lineage: Bacteria; Bacillati; Actinomycetota; Actinomycetes.
UGGGGAAUUUUGCACAAUGGGGGAAACCCUGAUGCAGCGACGCCGCGUGAUUUAGAAGGCCUUCGGGUUGUAAACAUCUUUUUUACGGGAUGAAAAUGACAGUACCGUAAGAAUAAGGUCCUGCUAAAUACGUGCCAGCAGCCGCGGUAAUACGUAUGGACCGAGCGUUGUCCGGAAUCAUUGGGCGUAAAGGGUACGUAGGCGGCCUAAUAAGUUAGAAGUGAAAGAAUAUAGCUCAACUAUAUGAAGCUUUUAAAGCUGUUAGGCUUGAGAGAUGAAAGGGAAAGUGGAAUUCCUAGUGUAGCGGUGAAAUGCGCAGAUAUUAGGAAGAAUACCGGUGACGAAGGCGGCUUUCUGAUAAUCAUCUGACGCUAAGGUACGAAAGCGUGGGUAGCAAACAGG